AACUUAAGCAUAUCAAUAAGCGGAGGAAAAGAAACCAACAGGGAUUGCCCUAGUAACGGCGAGUGAAGCGGCAACAGCUCAAAUUUGAAAUCUGGCCUCUGGCCCGAGUUGUAAUUUGUAGAGGAUGCUUUUGGUGAGGUGCCUUCCGAGUUCCCUGGAACGGGACGCCAUAGAGGGUGAGAGCCCCGUCUGGUCGGAUACCGAUCCUCUGUAAAGCUCCUUCGACGAGUCGAGUAGUUUGGGAAUGCUGCUCUAAAUGGGAGGUAUAUGUCUUCUAAAGCUAAAUACCGGCCAGAGACCGAUAGCGCACAAGUAGAGUGAUCGAAAGAUGAAAAGCACUUUGAAAAGAGGGUUAAACAGUACGUGAAAUUGUUGAAAGGGAAGCGCUUGUGACCAGACUUGGGCCUGGUUAAUCAUCCGGUGUUCUUCACCGGUGCACUUGGCCGGCCCAGGCCAGCAUCAGUUCGGCGCGGGGGAUAAAGGCUUCGGGAAUGUGGCUCCUCCGGGAGUGUUAUAGCCCGUUGCGUAAUACCCUGUACUGGACUGAGGUUCGCGCAUCUGCAAGGAUGCUGGCGUAAUGGUCAUCAGCGACCCGUCUUGAAACACGGACCAAGGAGUCGUCUUCGUAUGCGAGUGUUCGGGUGUUAAACCCCUACGCGUAAUGAAAGUGAACGCAGGUGAGAGCUUCGGCGCAUCAUCGACCGAUCCUGAUGUUCUCGGAUGGAUUUGAGUAAGAGCAUACGGGGCCGGACCCGAAAGAAGGUGAACUAUGCCUGUAUAGGGUGAAGCCAGAGGAAACUCUGGUGGAGGCUCGCAGCGGUUCUGACGUGCAAAUCGAUCGUCAAAUAUGGGCAUGGGGGCGAAAGACUAAUCGAACCUUCUAGUA
This 886-nucleotide ribosomal RNA is filed under the name Paracremonium apiculatum. Its description in RNAcentral is "partial large subunit ribosomal RNA". It matches the Rfam family "Eukaryotic large subunit ribosomal RNA", at positions 31 to 949 of the family's 3401-position model. Lineage: Eukaryota; Fungi; Ascomycota; Sordariomycetes; Hypocreales; Nectriaceae. The record is from RNAcentral.